This 102-nucleotide ribosomal RNA is filed under the name Paenibacillus terricola. Its description in RNAcentral is "Paenibacillus sp. PR3 partial 23S ribosomal RNA". It matches the Rfam family "Bacterial large subunit ribosomal RNA", at positions 2823 to 2925 of the family's 2925-position model. Lineage: Bacteria; Bacillati; Bacillota; Bacilli; Caryophanales; Paenibacillaceae. The record is from RNAcentral.
AAUUCGUAAGAUCCCUGGAAGACGACCAGGUUGAUAGGCUCGAGGUGGAAGCGCAGCAAUGCGUGCAGCUGACGAGUACUAAUCGAUCGAGGGCUUAUCCUA